Molecule: unclassified non-coding RNA, 329 nt
Filed under: Hevea brasiliensis (rubber tree)
Lineage: Eukaryota; Viridiplantae; Streptophyta; Magnoliopsida; Malpighiales; Euphorbiaceae
Source: RNAcentral
AUACUUUCAAAAAAUAAAUUAAAUUGAUAGAAGCAUAUCAGAUGCCGCUACUUUUAAAAUGCAUUAAAUUAUACGGUGAUAUUUUGUAAGUCUGCUUUAUUUUUUAAUGAUUUUUCGGGAUUUUUUUUAAUGGCAUUAAAAUAUGAGAUACUUGAUUAACAAGUAUUGAAUGUAGUGGUAAGACUCAAUGCCCUACCUAGGAGAACUCAAGUUCGAUCCUUGAAGAGCGCAUUAUUGGGAGGAGUAGCCACAAACUCUAUAAGGAUUAGUUUUCUGUGAACCGUAAAACGAAUAUAAAGAUAUCCUAAUGUAAAAAAAAAAAAAAAAAA